AAAAAUGUGAUGGAAUUGGUUAGACAUGAUAGACUCAAAAUCUAUUGUAAUGUAAAUUACGUAAGGGUUCGAGUCCCUUCAUUUGUA
RNAcentral lists this transfer RNA (87 nucleotides) under Genlisea aurea. It matches the Rfam family "tRNA". Rfam says of the family: Transfer RNA (tRNA) molecules are approximately 80 nucleotides in length. Their secondary structure includes four short double-helical elements and three loops (D, anti-codon, and T loops). Further hydrogen bonds mediate the characteristic L-shaped molecular structure. tRNAs have two regions of fundamental functional importance: the anti-codon, which is responsible for specific mRNA codon recognition, and the 3' end, to which the tRNAs corresponding amino acid is attached (by aminoacyl-tRNA synthetases). tRNAs cope with the degeneracy of the genetic code in two manners: having more than one tRNA (with a specific anti-codon) for a particular amino acid; and 'wobble' base-pairing, i.e. permitting non-standard base-pairing at the 3rd anti-codon position. Lineage: Eukaryota; Viridiplantae; Streptophyta; Magnoliopsida; Lamiales; Lentibulariaceae. The record is from Rfam by way of RNAcentral.